RNAcentral lists this ribosomal RNA (301 nucleotides) under uncultured bacterium. RNAcentral's name for it is "partial 16S ribosomal RNA". It matches the Rfam family "Bacterial small subunit ribosomal RNA", at positions 509 to 807 of the family's 1533-position model. The record is from RNAcentral.
CAGCCGCCGCGGUAAUACGAAGGGUGCAAGCGUUACUCGGAAUUACUGGGCGUAAAGCGUGCGUAGGUGGUGGUUUAAGUCCGUUGUGAAAGCCCUGGGCUCAACCUGGGAAUUGCAGUGGAUACUGGGUCACUAGAGUGUGGUAGAGGAUAGUGGAAUUUCCGGUGUAGCAGUGAAAUGCGUAGAGAUCGGAAGGAACAUCUGUGGCGAAGGCGCCUAUCUGGGCCAACACUGACACUGAGGCACGAAAGCGUGGGGAGCAAACAGGAUUAGAUACCCCUGUAGUCCCUGUCUCUUAUAC